UCCCUGACUGUCCAGUGGCUAAGAUUCUGCGCUUCCAAUGCAGGGGGCCCAGAUUCGAUUCCUAGUCAGGGAA
RNAcentral lists this transfer RNA (73 nucleotides) under Bos taurus (domestic cattle). It matches the Rfam family "tRNA". Rfam says of the family: Transfer RNA (tRNA) molecules are approximately 80 nucleotides in length. Their secondary structure includes four short double-helical elements and three loops (D, anti-codon, and T loops). Lineage: Eukaryota; Metazoa; Chordata; Mammalia; Artiodactyla; Bovidae. The record is from Rfam by way of RNAcentral. RNAcentral also lists the same sequence under 4 other names.